GACGAACGCUGGCGGCGUGCUUAACACAUGCAAGUCGAACGGAAAGGCCCUGCUUUUGUGGGGUGCUCGAGUGGCGAACGGGUGAGUAACACGUGAGUAACCUGCCCUUGACUUUGGGAUAACUUCAGGAAACUGGGGCUAAUACCGGAUAGGAGCUCCUGCUGCAUGGUGGGGGUUGGAAAGUUUCGGCGGUUGGGGAUGGACUCGCGGCUUAUCAGCUUGUUGGUGGGGUAGUGUCUUACCAAGGCUUUGACGGGUAGCCGGCCUGAGAGGGUGACCGGACACAUUGGGACGGAGAUACGGCCCAGACUCAUACGGGAGGCAGCAGUGGGGAAGAUAGCACAAUGGGCGGAAGCCUGAUGCAGCAACGCCGCGUGCGGGAUGACGGCCGUCGGGUGGUAAACAGCUUUCGCCUGUGACGAAGCGUGAGUGACGGUAAUGGGUAAAGAAGCACCGGCUAACUACGU
RNAcentral lists this ribosomal RNA (467 nucleotides) under uncultured bacterium. Its description in RNAcentral is "partial 16S ribosomal RNA". It matches the Rfam family "Bacterial small subunit ribosomal RNA", at positions 28 to 506 of the family's 1533-position model. The record is from RNAcentral.